Molecule: long non-coding RNA, 573 nt
Organism: Solanum lycopersicum (tomato)
Lineage: Eukaryota; Viridiplantae; Streptophyta; Magnoliopsida; Solanales; Solanaceae
Source: RefSeq, a predicted model, not a curated record
AAUAUGGUUUCUAUAAUCUAUAUUAAUAUACUGAGGUUAUUUGAGGGAGAAACAGAACGGAGGAGAAACCCAUUUCAGCCAUGAAGGACGAUUACGAGAUCGAAGAAAAGAAGCAAGCUGCUGCAGAUGUUUUGUUUCAAUAUUCAAAUUUUGUUAUGGCCUGUAUUGGUAAUCAAGUUCGGCCUUGUGACUUGAGACUGCAUUUGAUGAAGGAAGUUUCAGGACUGCCUACUUCUUUGAAGCGCGAACACCAUCCAACAUCUUCUCCUGAUGUAAUGGGAGAGUCCUCAAGCUCAGGUAUCUCAAGACUGGACAAAGCAGACAGUUUCCGAGGUCCUUAGAUUUGUGAAGUGCAUUGUUCGCUAUGUUUCUAGUUUGCUGUCUGGAAAAAUAUACUAUCAGUUGCUGUACUGCUUGAGGCAUGUAGGAUCUUGUUCAUUUUGUCAGGGUCUUCGGUUAUGCAAUCUCUGUCGCAUUUAUGUUUUUUAAGACAAUUAUUUCUUUCAUCAUGACAUGAGCACACACAUUUUAGUUCUUCUUGAUCACUAUUACUCAACUUCCAAUUGCAAGUCA